This is a long non-coding RNA of Suricata suricatta (meerkat), 606 nucleotides long. RefSeq lists it as uncharacterized. NCBI's taxonomy places the organism in Eukaryota, Metazoa, Chordata, Mammalia, Carnivora, Herpestidae. The transcript is spliced from 3 exons. The record is from RefSeq and is a predicted model, not a curated record.
CCCUGCUAAAGUCCGGAAGUGCCUCUGCUAUGAUUGUGCGCUCUCCAGCUUUUGUUACCUUGGUUUCUCAUGGCUUAAAGGAGAAACAGUUGCCAUCUCCUAAGAACACAUACUACAUAUGGAGGAACUGAAGUUUCUCACUAACAACCAGCACCAACCUGCUAGCCAGCUAUACAAACAACAUUGAAGAGUGGGUCAUCCUAGCCCUCACGCAGCCUGAAAAUGAUGCAGCCCUGACUACCAUCCUGGUUACAGCCUCACAAGGGACUCUGAGCCAGAACUGGCCAACCUCAGCUGCUACCUAAUUUCUGACCCAGAGAAAUUGUCAAGAAAAUAAAUGUCUUUUGUUCCUCUUGUAAGAGGAACUCUUAUGUCCGUUAUAAUAGCCUCUACCUGGUUGUGAAGCAGCAUCAACUGCCAGACAUGCGAGGGAACAUGUCAACAUUAUUCCCACCCCUAGAUCUGGAGCCUUCUCACUGAUGGGGAGCAGAAAAUAGUCAUCCCUACGAUGUUGUCUGAAUUCCUGAUCCACAGAAUCUCCAAAGACAAUAAAUCUCUGUUUUGAAUAAUUUGUUAUGUACCUGUAAUAAAUGGAUUAGAAAGUUC